RNAcentral lists this small nucleolar RNA (134 nucleotides) under Cavia porcellus (domestic guinea pig). The record is from RNAcentral. Lineage: Eukaryota; Metazoa; Chordata; Mammalia; Rodentia; Caviidae.
CUUCAGGUCUAUCCCAGAGUGGGUUCUCUGUGGCAGCGCAUCACAUCUUUAGAAACCUCUCAUAAGAAUCUUGUGGUUUUACUGUGCUUUCAGGUCUAUUUCUUAGGUCUGUGUGAAGGCACUACAAGACAGAA